UGCCAGCCGCCGCGGUAAUACGGAGGGUGCAAGCGUUGUCCGGAUUUAUUGGGUUUAAAGGGUGCGUAGGUGGUUUUUUAAGUCAGUGGUGAAAUCCUACAGCUUAACUGUAGAUGUGCCAUUGAAACUGGGAAACUUGAGUAUGGACGAGGUAGGCGGAAUUUGUGGUGUAGCGGUGAAAUGCAUAGAUACCACAAAGAACACCGAUAGCGAAGGCAGCUUACUAGGCCAUAACUGACACUGAGGCACGAAAGCGUGGGGAGCGAACAGGAUUAGAUA
This 279-nucleotide ribosomal RNA is filed under the name uncultured bacterium. RNAcentral's name for it is "partial 16S ribosomal RNA". It matches the Rfam family "Bacterial small subunit ribosomal RNA", at positions 506 to 784 of the family's 1533-position model. The record is from RNAcentral.